CUACGGGUCGCAGCAGUGGGGAAUAUUGCGCAAUGGGCGAAAGCCUGACGCAGCAACGCCGCGUGAGGGAUGAAGGCCUUCGGGUUGUAAACCUCUUUCAGCAGGGAAGAAGCGAAAGUGACGGUACCUGCAGAAGAAGCACCGGCUAACUACGUGCCAGCAGCCGCGGUAAUACGUAGGGUGCAAGCGUUGUCCGGAUUUAUUGGGCGUAAAGAGCUCGUAGGCGGUUAGUCACGUCGGAUGUGAAAAUCCAAGGCUUAACCUUGGACCUGCAUUCGAUACGGGCUGACUUGAGUGUUGUAGGGGAGACUGGAACUCCUGGUGUAGCGGUGAAAUGCGCAGAUAUCAGGAAGAACACCGAUGGCGAAGGCAGGUCUCUGGGCAACUACUGACGCUGAGGAGCGAAAGCGUGGGGAGCAAACAGGAUUAGAUACCCGGGUAGUC
RNAcentral lists this ribosomal RNA (444 nucleotides) under uncultured bacterium. RNAcentral's name for it is "partial 16S ribosomal RNA". It matches the Rfam family "Bacterial small subunit ribosomal RNA", at positions 339 to 795 of the family's 1533-position model. The record is from RNAcentral.